Long non-coding RNA from Poecile atricapillus (Black-capped chickadee), 280 nucleotides. RefSeq lists it as uncharacterized. The record is from RefSeq and is a predicted model, not a curated record. The transcript is spliced from 3 exons. Lineage: Eukaryota; Metazoa; Chordata; Aves; Passeriformes; Paridae.
CGCUUCCAGCCGUCAACUUCCCAACAAGUGGCGCCCGGCCGCGGGGGGCGGGGCGAUGAGAGGAGCGUUGGCAAUAGGCGGAGGCGCCAGAUUGAUAUCGCCAUUCUCCAAUAAAAGCAGGUCUUUAGGUCUGUGUCUACUGGCUUUACAGCACUUCAUGUUGACUCAUAUGGCUGACAGAGUUAAUUUCCUCUCCUUGUGCCAUCUACAUUCACAAGGCAUUGGAUCCUUUCUGGGACAACCACUGGCUAAGUAAAAUAUGGUUUGUCCCAUAGCUGAG